AUUGAACGCUGGCGGCGGGCCUAACACAUGCAAGUCGAGCAGAUGACGGGAGCUUGCUCCUUGAUUCAGCGGCGGACGGGUGAGUAAUGCCUAGGAAUCUGCCUGGUAGUGGGGGACAACGUUUCGAAAGGAACGCUAAUACCGCAUACGUCCUACGGGAGAAAGCAGGGGACCUUCGGGCCUUGCGCUAUCAGAUGAGCCUAGGUCGGAUUAGCUAGUAGGUGAGGUAAUGGCUCACCUAGGCGACGAUCCGUAACUGGUCUGAGAGGAUGAUCAGUCACACUGGAACGGAGACACGGUCCAGACUCCUACGGGAGGCAGCAGUGGGGAAUAUUGGACAAUGGGCGAAAGCCUGAUCCAGCCAUGCCGCGUGUGUGAAGAAGGUCUUCGGAUUGUAAAGCACUUUAAGUUGGGAGGAAGGGUUGUACGUUAAUACCGUGCAAUUUUGACGUUACCGACAGAAUAAGCACCGGCUAACUCUGUGCCAGCCGCCGCCGUAA
Molecule: ribosomal RNA, 500 nt
Filed under: uncultured bacterium
Lineage: Bacteria
Description: partial 16S ribosomal RNA
Rfam family: Bacterial small subunit ribosomal RNA
Source: RNAcentral